GCAAACUUGGUCAUUUAGAGGAAGUAAAAGUCGUAACAAGGUCUCCGUUGGUGAACCAGCGGAGGGAUCAUUACAGAGUUGUAAAACUCCCAAACCCAUGUGAACAUACCUGUUGCCUCGGUGGCCUACCCGGUAGCUACCCUGUAGCUACCCUGUAGUCCGCCGAAGGAACUUAAAACUCUUGUUUUUUGUGUCAUCUCUGAGAAAUACUUUAAAUAAGUCAAAACUUUCAACAACGGAUCUCUUGGUUCUGGCAUCGAUGAAGAACGCAGC
Molecule: unclassified non-coding RNA, 273 nt
Filed under: uncultured fungus
Lineage: Eukaryota; Fungi
Description: partial contains small subunit ribosomal RNA, internal transcribed spacer 1, and 5.8S ribosomal RNA
Rfam family: Eukaryotic small subunit ribosomal RNA (bases 1-73)
Source: RNAcentral